Long non-coding RNA from Ricinus communis (castor bean), 595 nucleotides. RefSeq lists it as uncharacterized. The record is from RefSeq and is a predicted model, not a curated record. NCBI's taxonomy places the organism in Eukaryota, Viridiplantae, Streptophyta, Magnoliopsida, Malpighiales, Euphorbiaceae. The transcript is spliced from 2 exons.
AUGUACCAAACUAAAGAAAACCUAAGACAAAGUAAACCCUAAUUUUAUUAUCUUUCUCCUCAUCUCAAACUUACAUCAACUCAAUCCUGUCAAUGCCUCCACCAUUGAUCCUCUUUUUCACGCCGUUGUUCAGGCUUUUGUUAUUGCCAUUCACUCUUUUGUUGCCGUCAUUCACUCUAUUGUUGCAGUUGUUCACUCUCUUGAUGCUGCCAUUCACCUUGCCGCUGCUGCAGUCAACACCACCACUGCUACUAUUCAAGGCGCGCCGCUGCUAUCCACGCUAUUGCUACUAGCGUCGGCCUUACUGCUAUCGUAGUCAGCCGCUACUUCGUCUUAGGUUUGUUUAUGUGUCAGCUCCUCAUACGAAAGAAGAGCUUGCAAAGCAUUUGAUGGAUAGUUUAUUAAGGUGGAAUAUUGACACUAAGAUUUCCACUAUUACUAUAGAUAAUUGUGCUUCAAAUGAUGGUAUAGUUUCUAUACUCACAUAAAAUUGUAUGAUGAUCUUUUGUGUGAUGGUAAGAUUUUGCAUAUGAGAUGUUGUGCACAAAUUUUAAAUCUUGUGGUCAAAGAAGGAUUCUCUAUUAUUGAUGAUGCA